This 647-nucleotide unclassified non-coding RNA is filed under the name uncultured Prochlorococcus sp. RNAcentral's name for it is "partial 16S-23S ribosomal RNA intergenic spacer; may also contain 16S ribosomal RNA and 23S ribosomal RNA". The stretch from base 305 to 377 matches the Rfam family "tRNA". The record is from RNAcentral. Lineage: Bacteria; Bacillati; Cyanobacteriota; Cyanophyceae; Synechococcales; Prochlorococcaceae.
UUGUGGAGGAGGACGCCGAAGGUGGGGCUAAUGACUGGGGUGAAGUCGUAACAAGGUAGCCGUACCGGAAGGUGCGGCUGGAUCACCUCCUAACAGGGAGACAACAAAAUGUUUAAUAUUAUUAUUUUGUCACCUUAGGUCGAUCGGUAUCUCACGUUUUUAAUUAAUUAAGAAUUUCAUUUCCUAAGUUUUUCUAGGUCACACCCAUUAUUUUUCCUGGGCCAUUAGCUCAGGUGGUUAGAGCGCACCCCUGAUAAGGGUGAGGUCCCUGGUUCAAGUCCAGGAUGGCCCAUAUCUCUAUGUUGGGGGUAUAGCUCAGUUGGUAGAGCGCCUGCUUUGCAAGCAGGAUGUCAGCGGUUCGAGUCCGCUUACCUCCACUGAUUACCACCUCUUCCAUAUACCGGUAGAAAGGAAAUGUUUUGAGUUGUGAUCAAAUUCUGAAAGAAUCUAGCUUCCUAAUGAAAUCAUUAAGAUGCUGGACUCAUUGAAUUAAUUUCAUUGUUUUCAGAGAACCUUGACAACUGCAUAGAUUUUUUUUAAAGACAAUAAGCAUUUUUAAUGAUGCAGAUUUAUUAUUUGUGCAAAUGCAUUAAUAACAAUUCUAUUAAGCUGAUGCUUCAAUUUUGAAGUUAUUGGUCAAGCUACAA